AGUGAACGCUGGCGGUAGGCCUAACACAUGCAAGUCGAACGGCAGCACAGUAAGAGCUUGCUCUUACGGGUGGCGAGUGGCGGACGGGUGAGGAAUACAUCGGAAUCUACUUUUUCGUGGGGGAUAACGUAGGGAAACUUACGCUAAUACCGCAUACGACCUACGGGUGAAAGCAGGGGAUCUUCGGACUUUGCGCGAUUGAAUGAGCCGAUGUCGGAUUAGCUAGUUGGCGGGGUAAAGGCCCACCAAGGCGACGAUCCGUAGCUGGUCUGAGAGGAUGAUCAGCCACACUGGAACUGAGACACGGUCCAGACUCCUACGGGAGGCAGCAGUGGGGAAUAUUGGACAAUGGGCGCAAGCCUAAUCCAGCCAUACCGCGUGGGUGAAGAAGGCCUUCGGGUUGUAAAGCCCUUUUGUUGGGAAAGAAAAGCAGCAGGUUAAUACCCCGCUGUUCUGACGGUACCCAAAGAAUAAGCACCGGCUAACUUCGUG
RNAcentral lists this ribosomal RNA (492 nucleotides) under uncultured bacterium. RNAcentral's name for it is "partial 16S ribosomal RNA". It matches the Rfam family "Bacterial small subunit ribosomal RNA", at positions 29 to 507 of the family's 1533-position model. The record is from RNAcentral.